ACGAACGCUGGCGGCGUGCUUAACACAUGCCAGUCGAACGGAAAGGCCUGCUUUCCCUUGUGGAUUGCGGGUACUCGAGUGGCGAACGGGUGAGUAACACGUGAGUGAUCUGCCCCCAACUUGGGUAUAAGCCUGGGAAACUGGGUCUAAUUCCCGAUAGGACUGCAGGGUGGUGCCUGUGGUGGAAAACGAUUUUCUAGUGGUUGGGGAUGAGCUCGCGGCCUAUCAGCUUGUUGGUGGGGUAAUGGCCUACCAAGGCGGCGACGGGUAGCCGGCCUGAGAGGGUGGACGGCCACAUUGGGGCUGAGAUACGGCCCAGACUCCUACGGGAGGCAGCAGUGGGGAAUAUUGCACAAUGGGCGGAAGCCUGAUGCAGCGACGCCGCGUGGGGGAUGACGGCCUUCGGGUUGUAAACUCCUUUCGACCGCGAGGAAGCCACCUGGUUGGAAGGGUGGUGACGGUAGUGGUAGAAGAAGCACCGGCUAACUACGUG
Molecule: ribosomal RNA, 493 nt
Filed under: uncultured bacterium
Lineage: Bacteria
Description: partial 16S ribosomal RNA
Rfam family: Bacterial small subunit ribosomal RNA
Source: RNAcentral